CCCCCCCCCCCCCCAGACCAUCUACUGGGAACCACAACCCUUUGCAAACAUUCCCUAACUCCUUCCCCUGAUUCUGCUCCAUGAUACUCACCACCAGCUGGCGCAUUUUAUUUGUCCAAUUUUUUCUCCUCACUCUGGAAUGUAAGAUCUUACAGUACGGAUUUGGUUUUAAGUCUGUUCACUGUCCUACCCCCAAUGUCUAGAGCUGCACGUGGAAUCUGAAGGCACGCUAAAUGUUCAGUGAAGACUGCUGAAUGAAUAAAUGUUUCCAUGUAAUGGUAAAGUUUGGUUGGGCUGGAGGAAAAGCAAAAGAAGAAAUAAAAACAACGCCACCGCUGAUUCUCCCAGGAUAUCAGUUCAAGCAGGCUCACCCCCGUGGCACUGGAAGACGUCCAAACCAUUGAGAGACCCUUCACUGGACUCACCAGAACAAUUACCUGAAGGAGAACAAAUGACGUCACGGUGUGCCCACGAGGCUUCUUGCACGAAAGAGAAAGCUAAGUUACAGCACGGCCAGAUGUGACUUCUGUAUCACCAGUUUAGGUCAUCAGUUAGGUGACCUAAGGGCCUGGUUUGGGUCACAAAACCCUUCAUCCACUAGGCUAGACAGGCUGUCCUCACUUCCAGAAACUGCCCCCUGGCUGGGAUUCAGCACUUCCAGAAACAGCCUCCCAUGCUGACCGAUGGAUAGAUUAGGAGGGGUGACCUCAGCCAGUAAGUGCUCAGCUCACAAGUACUCAGACAUGUGACAUGUGGGAACCUCGACCUCAGAGAUCCAGAAAUAUGAAGCGUUCAGGUGCCUCCAUCCCUUACGGAGGCCAGCUCCUAGGUACACCAAGCUGCAGCAUGGGUGGCAUGUUCGUGUGACAUCGUCAGCACGGAGCCGGCCACACUCUGUUCUCGUUUAGCCUCAAAAUCAACGUCGUGCGCACGAGACCUCAACUUCGCCGUGUGACUGCGAAGGACAGAAGUAGGGUCAGCUGGCGGAACUGAGAUUCCGACUCAUCACGAGGACUUUCCAACAACAAGAGUGACAGCCUGGGGACGGAUGUGCUGGUAUCUGGGCCCUUGCAUCUCUCCUCAUCCUUCCUGACAAAAGAGGAUUUAAGACCGCUUCCAAGUCCACUGUCAAUUGCGAUACUCUCUCAAACCACCCUGGACUCACUGAGAAUGACUCGUCCACAGAGGCAUAAAUGUAUUAAGCGGAACGGCGACAUGACAACUCACACCUUAAAAAGCGCACAGUAUUAUACUUCUUAACGGAGCCUCGAAAGAGGCUCGUAUCUGGUGUCUGCCUGCAUCCAGGAGUUUUCAUGAGGAAAACAGAAAUCAGAUUCUUUUGGCUACUUCUUCUGGCUUUUAGGCUUCAUCCUAGAAAACCAGUUUUCACAUCUUUGCAGACUGGAAGAAACAGGUGGAAACUCCACCCCCCGCCGCCUUGUUGAUGCCACAGAGAUACGGCAGGACCACCCAGCUAUGCAGAGCGCUCAGCAGACGGACUCAGGCCCCAUCACCCGCACUCAUUCCAGAACAUCUGCUUUUCCCUUUGCAGAAUUUAUUAUUUUUCAGCUGUCUUCAGCCACUCUUUCUGGCUCCUUGAUUACGCAUUACAAACCAGCACAUGCUAGCAUUUACACAGUGCUCGGGGGAAGGAACAGCCUAGCCUGUCUCAGGGACUCUGAAAAGCCAUAUGCAAUCAUGGGACUUUUCCUCCCUCUGGCAGCGGUGGAAUCAUUUUAGUCUUGUCGCUCUGAAGUGGAUGGGCAGCCUGCAGUCUCUCUCACACCCUUAAAAAUGUUCCUCCAAAGAAAAGACACAGAUUUUAGUCCAUCUGUGGACCAUCUGCAGAAACAGAAGAGCCCAUUGAGAGUUUCUGGACCCUUCC
This is a long non-coding RNA of Camelus dromedarius (Arabian camel), 1885 nucleotides long. RefSeq lists it as uncharacterized. Lineage: Eukaryota; Metazoa; Chordata; Mammalia; Artiodactyla; Camelidae. The transcript is spliced from 3 exons. The record is from RefSeq and is a predicted model, not a curated record.